This 551-nucleotide ribosomal RNA is filed under the name uncultured archaeon. RNAcentral describes it as "bacterial SSU rRNA". It matches the Rfam family "Archaeal small subunit ribosomal RNA", at positions 307 to 859 of the family's 1478-position model. The record is from RNAcentral.
GACAAGGUUCCAGGCCUACGGGGCGCAGCAGGCGCGAAACCUCCGCGAUGUGAGAAAUCGCGACGGGGGGAUCCCAAGUGCCAUUCUUAACGGGAUGGCUUUUCAUUAGUGUAAAGAGCUUUUGGAAUAAGAGCUGGGCAAGACCGGUGCCAGCCGCCGCGGUAACACCGGCAGCUCUAGUGGUAGCAAUUUUUAUUGGGCCUAAAGCGUCCGUAGCCGGUUUAAUAAGUCUCUGGUGAAAUCCUGUAGCUUAACUGUGGGAAUUGCUGGAGAUACUAUUAGACUUGAGACCGGGAGAGGUUAGAGGUACUCCCAGGGUAGAGGUGAAAUUCUGUAAUCCUGGGAGGACCGCCUGUUGCGAAGGCGUCUAACUGGAACGGUUCUGACGGUGAGGGACGAAAGUUAGGGGCGCGAACCGGAUUAGAUACCCGGGUAGUCCUAACUGUAAACGAUGCGGACUUGGUGUUGGGGUGGCUUUGAGCUGCUCCAGUGCCGAAGGGAAGCUGUUAAGUCCGCCGCCUGGGAAGUACGGUCGCAAGACUGAAACUUAA